UCCCAAAUCUCUUUAGCUGAGUUGCAUGUGGAAAUGCGAUUAAAUUGAUUAGCAUCCAAAGCAUAAUAUAAAAUAUUCAUGGUUUUAACAUUGAGCUGAGCCAUUUUCUUAUCAAGUUCAUCCCAUUCACCUUCCGACUUAGGAAGAGACGCACCAUCAAUCAAUUUAGUGGGUGUGUAAAGUUCAUUUACAUGAUACACCAUAUGUCAUAGUCAAGUGCUUGAAUGAAAAUUCUCAUCCAAACUUUUUAAUAGAUGUAGUUUGACCCAUUGAAAAGUAGAGGUCAGUUUGUGGAUUACCCCUUGACUAGGGAUGUGCCAAAUUGGGCUGCCAUUGAUCUUUAGCUCUUAAUGUUUAAAUCUAGCAAGAACUAGAGCACCGGGCUCUGAUACCAUUUGUUGUCCAAAUAUGAAGCCCA
Molecule: long non-coding RNA, 418 nt
Filed under: Elaeis guineensis (African oil palm)
Lineage: Eukaryota; Viridiplantae; Streptophyta; Magnoliopsida; Arecales; Arecaceae
Description: long non-coding RNA (EGUI_LNC049091)
Source: RNAcentral